Molecule: ribosomal RNA, 468 nt
Filed under: uncultured bacterium
Lineage: Bacteria
Description: partial 16S ribosomal RNA
Rfam family: Bacterial small subunit ribosomal RNA
Source: RNAcentral
GACGAACGCUGGCGGCGUGCUUAACACAUGCAAGUCGAACGGAAAGGCCCUGCUUUUGUGGGGUGCUCGAGUGGCGAACGGGUGAGUAACACGUGAGUAACCUGCCCUUGACUUUGGGAUAACUUCAGGAAACUGGGGCUAAUACCGGAUAGGAGCUCCUGCUGCAUGGUGGGGGUUGGAAAGUUUCGGCGGUUGGGGAUGGACUCGCGGCUUAUCAGCCUGUUGGUGGGGUAGUGGCUUACCAAGGCUUUGACGGGUAGCCGGCCUGAGAGGGUGACCGGCCACAUUGGGACUGAGAUACGGCCCAGACUCCUACGGGAGGCAGCAGUGGGGAAUAUUGCACAAUGGGCGGAAGCCUGAUGCAGCAACGCCGCGUGCGGGAUGACGGCCUUCGGGUUGUAAACCGCUUUCGCAUGUGACGAAGCGUGAGUGACGGUAAUGGGUAAAGAAGCACCGGCUAACUACGUG